CGCGAACUGGGAUUCCCUCAAUCGUGCGGAGGCUGAGAGCCAGCCCCCGCGCGCAUGGUGGGAGGGUGAAGGCCUCAACCCCACCUCCUUUCUACGUCGGAAGUGGCUUUCUGCCACAGUGGUCUGGGUAUACAGUUUUGCUGAGGUGGGCCUUUCCUCUGAUAACUCGCUCUUUGUCUCUUAAAUACCCUAGGAUUCAGCUCUGCACUCUGUCUCUUUUUUUAAAAAAAUAAUUUUUAUUAAAUUUUCCAUUUUAACAAUCCAAUCAAAUCACAUUAAAUAUUCCAGAUUAUACAAAUACAUAUCGUAUAGUCCAAAUAUUCCGCCAAAUUAUAAAUUUUUAUUGGGACUUCAAGUUGCCUCAAGUUCAGUGGGGCUCUGAUCAACUUAUAUCUCUACUGCCUUGAGUUUCCAAUAGUUCCUUUAAACCUUCCUGUUGUUACCCUUCCUUCCCCAGCUCUGCACUCUCAUCACUUCCCUGCUCCCUCUGGCCAGCCCUGCCAAGAUGUCCCCACGGAGCUCACGACAGACUUUUUGCUCCUUAUACUGGAACACGCUACAAGGCGUCAUCCGACCUUCUUAGGGACUCCACUUACUCCUUAGCCUUUUCUUCUCCUGGAGAUACCCAACAAGGCAACAGAGGUUUAGGGCCAGAGUUUUCCAUUCUUAGAUGGGCUACUUUCCCAGGAUGGCGAACCCCACCUGCCCCUCAGGCUUACAAUCUUAAAAAAGACACGACACAAAAGGAAAAAAGAUUGGGCAGCAGGAGGAAAGAAGCAAUCUUGGGUGAAAGCUCCUGGAUACAAAUUCUUCUAUUGAUCAGCUGGGUUGGAAAAAUUCCAAGGAGGGGAGAUGCUCAAAGGUUGCUGGUCUCUCAGUUGUGUUGAUGUUAAUGGCUGCUGCCAGGUGAUUGUUUACUUAUAUGUAUUAGAUGCCUCAUAAAUUCUCCAGGCAACAUACAGCUUUAAGUAUGUAUAAAACGAUUAGAAACGUGAUGCUGCAAUCAAACAUCAAACUAUUGAAAACCCAGCACAAGAAGAAAACUCAGACACAUAAUUUUACACAUCAGAAGAGCUAAUCACUUCAAAUACUAAAACCCAUCAGCCGGCAAAGACUGAUCGUCUAUCUCCAC
Non-coding RNA from Podarcis lilfordi (Lilford's wall lizard), 1132 nucleotides. NCBI's taxonomy places the organism in Eukaryota, Metazoa, Chordata, Lepidosauria, Squamata, Lacertidae. The record is from the annotation of a GenBank genome assembly.